UACGGGGGGGGUAAGCGUUGUUCGGAAUUACUGGGCGUAAAGGGCUCGUAGGCGGCCAACUAAGUCAUACGUGAAAUCCCUCAGCUUAACUGGGGAACUGCGUGUGAUACUGGAUGGCUUGGAUUUGGGAGAGGGAUGCGGAAUUCCAGGUGUAGCGGUGAAAUGCGUAGAGAUGGGGGAGAACACUCGUGGCGAAGGCGGCUUACUGGUCCGGUUCUGACGCUGAGGAGCGAAAGCGUGGGGAGCGAACAGG
RNAcentral lists this ribosomal RNA (253 nucleotides) under uncultured bacterium. RNAcentral's name for it is "partial 16S ribosomal RNA". It matches the Rfam family "Bacterial small subunit ribosomal RNA", at positions 524 to 776 of the family's 1533-position model. The record is from RNAcentral.